RNAcentral lists this ribosomal RNA (841 nucleotides) under uncultured bacterium. Its description in RNAcentral is "bacterial SSU rRNA". It matches the Rfam family "Bacterial small subunit ribosomal RNA", at positions 60 to 902 of the family's 1533-position model. The record is from RNAcentral.
AGUCGAACGGCAGCGCGGACUUCGGUCUGGCGGCGAGUGGCGAACGGGUGAGUAAUAUAUCGGAACGUACCCAAGAGUGGGGGAUAACGUAGCGAAAGUUACGCUAAUACCGCAUACGAUCUAAGGAUGAAAGCAGGGGAUCUUCGGACCUUGUGCUCCUGGAGCGGCCGAUAUCUGAUUAGCUAGUUGGUGAGGUAAAGGCUCACCAAGGCAACGAUCAGUAGCUGGUCUGAGAGGACGACCAGCCACACUGGAACUGAGACACGGUCCAGACUCCUACGGGAGGCAGCAGUGGGGAAUUUUGGACAAUGGGGGCAACCCUGAUCCAGCAAUGCCGCGUGAGUGAAGAAGGCCUUCGGGUUGUAAAGCUCUUUUGUCAGGGAAGAAAAGGGUCUGGCUAAUAUCCAGAUCUGCUGACGGUACCUGAAGAAUAAGCACCGGCUAACUACGUGCCAGCAGCCGCGGUAAUACGUAGGGUGCAAGCGUUAAUCGGAAUUACUGGGCGUAAAGCGUGCGCAGGCGGUUUUGUAAGUCUGUCGUGAAAUCCCCGGGCUUAACCUGGGAAUGGCGAUGGAGACUGCAAGGCUUGAGUUUGGCAGAGGGGGGUAGAAUUCCACGUGUAGCAGUGAAAUGCGUAGAGAUGUGGAGGAACACCGAUGGCGAAGGCAGCCCCCUGGGUCAAACUGACGCUCAUGCACGAAAGCGUGGGGAGCAAACAGGAUUAGAUACCCUGGUAGUCACGCCCUAAACGAUGUCUACUAGUGUUGGGUCUAAUUGACUUAGUAACGCAGCUACGCGUGAAGUAGACCGCCUGGGGGAGUACGUCGCAGGAUUAAAACUC